CUACGUGCCAGCAGCCGCGGUAAUACGGAAGGUCCAGGCGUUAUCCGGAUUUAUUGGGUUUAAAGGGUGCGUAGGCCGUUUGAUAAGCGUGCUGUGAAAUAUAGUGGCUCAACCUCUAUCGUGCAGCGCGAACUGUUGAACUUGAGUGCGUAGUAGGUAGGCGGAAUUCGUGGUGUAGCGGUGAAAUGCUUAGAUAUGACGAAGAACUCCGAUUGCGAAGGCAGCUGACGGGAGCGCAACUGACGCUUAAGCUCGAAGGUGCGGGUAUCGAACAGGAUUAGAUACCCUGGUAGUCCGCACAGUAAACGAUGGAUGCCCGCUGUUGGUACCUGGUAUCAGCGGCUAAGCGAAAGCAUUAAGCAUCCCACCUGGGGAGUACGCCGGCAACGGUGAAACUCAAAGGAAUUGACGGGGGCCCGCACAAGCGGAGGAACAUGUGGUUUAAUUCGAUGAUACGCGAGGAACCUUACCCGGGCUUGAA
This 481-nucleotide ribosomal RNA is filed under the name uncultured bacterium. RNAcentral's name for it is "bacterial SSU rRNA". It matches the Rfam family "Bacterial small subunit ribosomal RNA", at positions 501 to 985 of the family's 1533-position model. The record is from RNAcentral.